UCCUACUAAGGCAAGUUUAAAGGGGAGCAGCUCAAAGCUUGUUGUUGUGGCAUCUUCAGGAGGCUGAAUUUCUAGGUUGUUCUUCUCUUGAAGCUUGGAGUUGGAGGGAGAUUCUCUUCACCGGCGGAUCCUCGGAGAGAUUAAAGAUCCAUACCGGGUUGUGGUUCGCGGGACUUGGUGAGCCCUAAUCUCAGAGCUCGG
This is a long non-coding RNA of Dioscorea cayenensis subsp. rotundata (Guinea yam), 201 nucleotides long. RefSeq lists it as uncharacterized. Lineage: Eukaryota; Viridiplantae; Streptophyta; Magnoliopsida; Dioscoreales; Dioscoreaceae. The record is from RefSeq and is a predicted model, not a curated record. The transcript has 3 exons.